GGUCGUAACAAGGUUUCCGUAGGUGAACCUGCGGAAGGAUCAUUAUUGAAUUAACUUGGUUGGGUUGUUGCUGGCUUUUAGGAGCAUGUGCACAUCCACUCCAUUUUCAACCACCUGUGCACACAUUGUAGGCUUGAAACUCUCGAGGACACUCGGUUUGAGAAUUGCUCUUAAAUGCAGCUUUUCUUGCAUUUCAAGUCUAUGUUUUUAUAUACUCCAUAUGAAUGUAAUAGAAUGUUUAUUAAGGGCCUUUUGUGCCUGUAAAACAAAUACAACUUUCAACAACGGAUCUCUUGGCUCUCGCAUCGAUGAAGAACGCAGCGAAAUGCGAUAAGUAAUGUGAAUUGCAGAAUUCAGUGAAUCAUCGAAUCUUUGAACGCACCUUGCGCUCCUUGGUAUUCCGAGGAGCAUGCCUGUUUGAGUGUCAUGAAAUUCUCAACCUCUCUAGCUUUAUCUAGCUGGUUAGGCUUGGAUUGUGGAAGUUGCUGGUUUUAUCAGAAAUCAGCUCUUCUUAAAUGCAUUAGCAAAACCUUUGCUGACUAUCUUUAGUAUGAUAAUUAUCUAUACUAUUGAAAAGUAGCUCCUAUGGGGAUGGUUUUGCUUCUAACAGUCCAUCUGGACAACCUUGACAAUUUGACCUCAAAUCAGGUAGGACUACCCGCUGAACUUAGC
Molecule: ribosomal RNA, 672 nt
Filed under: Entoloma niphoides
Lineage: Eukaryota; Fungi; Basidiomycota; Agaricomycetes; Agaricales; Entolomataceae
Description: eukaryotic LSU rRNA
Rfam family: 5.8S ribosomal RNA (bases 274-427)
Source: RNAcentral